RNAcentral lists this microRNA precursor (106 nucleotides) under Marmota monax (woodchuck). Lineage: Eukaryota; Metazoa; Chordata; Mammalia; Rodentia; Sciuridae. The record is from RNAcentral.
UUAAAAGUCAUCUGGGAGUGUUAUUAAAAUGCAGUUUCUGAUUCAGAAGGUAUACGGAGGAGGCUGAGAAUUUAACAUUUCUAAAAAGCUCUCAGAUGAUUAAUUG